AAGCGUUGUUCGGAAUCACUGGGCGUAAAGCGCACGUAGGCGGAUCGAUAAGUCAGGGGUGAAAGCCCGAGGCUCAACCUCGGAAUUGCCUUUGAUACUGUCGAUCUUGAGUCCGGGAGAGGUGAGUGGAACUCCGAGUGUAGAGGUGAAAUUCGUAGAUAUUCGGAAGAACACCAGUGGCGAAGGCGGAUUACUGGACGAUAACUGACGGUGAGGCGCG
RNAcentral lists this ribosomal RNA (220 nucleotides) under uncultured bacterium. RNAcentral describes it as "partial 16S ribosomal RNA". It matches the Rfam family "Bacterial small subunit ribosomal RNA", at positions 536 to 755 of the family's 1533-position model. The record is from RNAcentral.